Molecule: ribosomal RNA, 434 nt
Filed under: uncultured bacterium
Lineage: Bacteria
Description: bacterial SSU rRNA
Rfam family: Bacterial small subunit ribosomal RNA
Source: RNAcentral
CAUGCAAGUCGAACGGACCGAUCCUGUCGCAGCGGACCGAGGAUUCGUCUGACGUCCAAAGCUUGGGAUAGGUUAGUGGCGUACGGGUGAGUAACACGUAGGUGACCUGCCCCGAAGAGGGGGAUAACUGCUGGAAACGGCAGCUAAUACCCCAUGUGAUCGGCGAUUCGUUUCGCUGAUUAAAGCUCCGGCGCUUCGGGAGGGGCCUGCGGCCGAUUAGCUAGUUGGUGGGGUAAUGGCUCACCAAGGCGAUGAUCGGUAGCUGGUCUGAGAGGAUGAUCAGCCACACUGGCACUGACACACGGGCCAGACUCCUACGGGAGGCAGCAGUGAGGAAUAUUGCGCAAUGGGGGAAACCCUGACGCAGCAACGCCGUGUGGGCGAAGAAGGUCUUCGGAUCGUAAAGCCCUUUUCUCCCGGACGAGAAAGGACGG